CCUACGGGUGGCAGCAGUAGGGAAUAUUGCUCAAUGGGGGAAACCCUGAAGCAGCAACGCCGCGUGGAGGAUGAAGGUUUUCGGAUUGUAAACUCCUUUUGUUAGAGAAGAUAAUGACGGUAUCUAACGAAUAAGCACCGGCUAACUACGUGCCAGCAGCCGCGGUCAUACGGAGGGUGCAAGCGUUACUCGGAAUCACUGGGCGUAAAGAGCGCGUAGGCGGGAUAGAAAGUCAGAUGUGAAAUCCUAUGGCUUAACCAUAGAACUGCAUUUGAAACUGUUAUUAUAGAGUAUGGGAGAGGUAGGUGGAAUUCUUGGUGUAGGGGUAAAAUCCGUAGAGAUCAAGAGGAAUACUCAUUGCGAAGGCGACCUGCUAGAACAUAACUGACGCUGAUGCGCGAAAGCGUGGGUAGCAAACAGGAUUAGAUACCCUAGUAGUC
This 440-nucleotide ribosomal RNA is filed under the name uncultured bacterium. RNAcentral's name for it is "partial 16S ribosomal RNA". It matches the Rfam family "Bacterial small subunit ribosomal RNA", at positions 338 to 795 of the family's 1533-position model. The record is from RNAcentral.